UCAACUCUUUCUUUAGUACUCUUAAUUUGGUGGAAACAGACUCUAAUACCACUUGUUGAGGUUCGAGUACUUGAAAGAUAAUAAAUAAAAUAAAAAUUAUGCUAAUAAUAAUAAUAAAAACCCAAAAAAAUUACAGCAAUCGUAAGAACAUCAGAUUUAACGUGGUUCGAUUGAAGCCUACAUCUCUAUAGGGACGAGAGUAAGAAAGAGCUUCCACUAUAAUAUUAGUUUAGAGUAUAAAAAUUUUUUUUUGACACC
RNAcentral lists this long non-coding RNA (258 nucleotides) under Elaeis guineensis (African oil palm). Its description in RNAcentral is "long non-coding RNA (EGUI_LNC041642)". Lineage: Eukaryota; Viridiplantae; Streptophyta; Magnoliopsida; Arecales; Arecaceae. The record is from RNAcentral.